RNAcentral lists this ribosomal RNA (829 nucleotides) under Schedorhinotermes sp. 'Ravenshoe'. RNAcentral's name for it is "partial 16S ribosomal RNA". The stretch from base 440 to 605 matches the Rfam family "Archaeal large subunit ribosomal RNA", at positions 1879 to 2091 of the family's 2987-position model. The record is from RNAcentral. Lineage: Eukaryota; Metazoa; Arthropoda; Insecta; Blattodea; Rhinotermitidae.
UAUUUCCCGAUUUUAAGAGGAGUUAAUAAUUUAUUUUAGUUACUGUUUUAUUAGUAUUAAUAAUAUGUUAUUGGUAGUGAAAUGUUAUUCGUCUUUGUUGGUAUCUGGUUUUCCAAGAAAUGAAUUUAAUUCAUGCGUCUUAUUUAGAUUUAUUAUUUUUUUAUUAAGUUUUAAUUUGUCGUUAAGAUUAAGGGGGAUUAGCUCCUUAUUUUAUUAUUAUAAUUUUGUUUUAUUUUUAAUUUUUGUUGAUUUUAUAGUGAUUUUCUAUUUGAUUAUGUUAAAAUUUUAUUUAUCUUUUAUUUGAUUUAUUUGUUGUUUAAUUUUAUAUUGGAAUGUUAUUUUUAAUUUUUGCUGUUUUGUAAUUAUUGUGUAAUUAGUAAAUUUGUUUUUUAUUUUGUAUAUUAUUAUUGUUAAUUUCUUUUGAGGAAUUAGGCAAAUAAAGUUGUGUCCGCCUGUUUAACAAAAACAUCUUUUCUUGUUAGUUUUUGAAGUAUGGCCUGCCCACUGAAUUUUUUUGAAGGGCCGCGGUAUUUUGACCGUGCAAAGGUAGCAUAAUCAUUAGUUCUUUAAUUGUGAUCUGGAAUGAAUGGCUUGACGAGAUGCAAGCUGUCUUAGAUUUUGGCGAAAUUUUAGUUGAAUUUGUUUUCUGGGUUAAAAUACUCAGAUGUUUUUAUGGGACGAGAAGACCCUAUAGAGUUUUACACUUGUAUUUAUUAUUUUAGUUGUUUGAUUUUAUUUUUAAUAAGUUUGUAUUGUUUUGUUGGGGUGAUGGGAAGAAUUUGUUUAACUCUUCUUUAUGUGUGUGUACAUUUAUGUAUGUUAUUUUGAU